Molecule: ribosomal RNA, 464 nt
Filed under: uncultured bacterium
Lineage: Bacteria
Description: partial 16S ribosomal RNA
Rfam family: Bacterial small subunit ribosomal RNA
Source: RNAcentral
UGCCAGACUCCUACGGGAGGCAGCAGUGGGGAAUAUUGCACAAUGGGGGAAACCCUGAUGCAGCGACGCCGCGUGAGUGAAGAAGUAUUUCGGUAUGUAAAGCUCUAUCAGCAGGGAAGAAAAACCGACCAUAGGGUCGCUAGACGGUACCUGAUUAAGAAGCCCCGGCUAACUACGUGCCAGCAGCCGCGGUAAUACGUAGGGGGCAAGCGUUAUCCGGAUUUACUGGGUGUAAAGGGAGCGUAGACGGCAGCGCAAGUCUGAAGUGAAAUGCCGGGGCUUAACCCCGGAACUGCUUUGGAAACUGCCGGGCUGGAGUGCAGGAGGGGCAGGCGGAAUUCCUAGUGUAGCGGUGAAAUGCGUAGAUAUUAGGAGGAACACCAGUGGCGAAGGCGGCCUGCUGGACUGCAACUGACGUUGAGGCUCGAAGGCGUGGGGAGCAAACAGGAUUAGAUACCCCAGUA